GAAUAAGCCUCACAAGAUAAGAUGGGUUUAUCAGGGGUUUCUGCUUUUGCUUCCUCCUCAUCUUCUCUUGCUACCACCAUGUAAGAAGUGCCUUUCAGCUCCCACCAUAAUUCUGACAUCUCCUCAGCCAUGUGGAACUCAAGAAUUUGUUUGUACCAGCUCUAUGCCAUACACCGUGAUAGACACACCAGACGUGGAAGUGAGAAAUAUGGUUCCCAUCUUGGAUAGCAAAGAAGAUGGACAAAUAAACCAACAAAUUAAACACAGAAAAACGUUUUCUAAAGGAAGGAGGUUUCUUGAAGGAAGUGGUACUUCUGUUGAAAUAUGAAAGAUGAGUGAGGGUUAGUCACAUACAGAAAGGGAGAAGGGAGUAUCCAAUGUAGAUAGAACAGCAUAUGAAAAGCACAGAGAUGUGAGAGAGCAGGUAGGCAUUGCUGUAAAUCCAGGUGGAUGUAAAAAAAAUCAGAGCCUUGCAGGAACUAGGUUGUAGAAAGCUCUGUGGACUAAGUUUAGUUGGUUUAACUUUAUCCUAAAAGUCACAGGAAAAUAUUAAAGAUGUUUAAAAAAGAAAAAAAAGCAGAUUUUCAUUUUAUUAACAAAACAUAACUCUGGCAGCAGGUGUGGAAAAUGGAUGGAGGGGCCAGGACCAGAAGAAAGACACCUGUUACUGAAGCAAUGCAGAUGGGAAAUGAUGGAGACCUAGAUGUAGACCAUGCCAGCAAAGACGGAGGGGCAGAAUUGAGUAAUACUUGUAGAACUAAUGUAACUUACAGGAUGAUUAGAUACAUAGAAAGGAGACUAACUCAAUCCUUUAUUUUUCUUCCUUUUUCAAAAGUUUUUUUAAGACUAUAUUACUAUCUUUUCCCCAUUCCCUCCAUACUUAAUAUGACAGUUAGCUAAUUUUACUUGAAUACCUAUGUCUUAUUCUUUACCAACACCAUCAAGCAGCAGCAUCUCCCUACCACCACCACAACAAGCAGCAAGUGUUUAUGGAGCACCUCUUAAUAAAUUAUCCUUUGUCUUGUUUUGUGACAAAUUUACAUUCCUCUCUGCUUUACUUUUGCUUUAUCCUGUAUUUUUCAUUGUUCUGUGGUUUAGCGUGUAUUUUCUUCUGCUCUUCCAGGACCAUAGGAUUUCAGAGCUUGUUACUUAAGUUCUCAGGUUUUUGAUAUGUACUUGGAAUUUUAUUUUUUACUACUUUCUCAAAGUAAUGCUCCACAAAUAUUUCUUAUGUAAUUCCAAUGCAUCUAAAGAGAUUUAGCAUUUGAGUUUUAUGUUAAACCAAUAAACUGAUUAAAGCCAUAAUUAGCAAUCACCAACUUUUAUCUGGAAAUAAACUGAAAACUAUUAUUCACUUACUAAGGCUCUGGUGUACUUAUUUCUGUAAAGAGAACACUAUACUUUGCUCAAAGAAGUAAUACAAUUUAUAUUUUCUCCUGUUCUCAUGUGUGCAAAUUAUGUUCAUUUUAUUGUACAGGCUAUAUAUCUUCUGCAAUACCUUCAUCUGCCUGUAGGUGUAAAGUUAAAAUUCAGCUCUUCUGUCAAGGUAAGAAAUUA
RNAcentral lists this long non-coding RNA (1557 nucleotides) under Homo sapiens (human). RNAcentral describes it as "HSALNT0293080". The record is from RNAcentral. Lineage: Eukaryota; Metazoa; Chordata; Mammalia; Primates; Hominidae.